Cryptomeria japonica (Japanese cedar) is the source of this 933-nucleotide long non-coding RNA. RefSeq lists it as uncharacterized. The transcript is spliced from 3 exons. Lineage: Eukaryota; Viridiplantae; Streptophyta; Pinopsida; Cupressales; Cupressaceae. The record is from RefSeq and is a predicted model, not a curated record.
ACUUUUUCGUCUUGGUAACGGGUCGAAUUUUUGAGUGUCUUAGCUGGCAGUUUGUGCAGAAGAGUUUUAGGCUUUUAUUUGAUUAGCGAAAGCCUCUGUAUUAAGAGAUACAUCUUUCCUGUAUUAAGAGAUACAUCUUUCCUGUUUGUUUGUAUUUGAAGAUUUUUUGCUUAAUAGUCAAUUAUAGCGAAAUCAGACUUUCGGCGCAUUCAUCGCGUGCUGAACACAUGUGCUCAUGGUGACAAAUGAUAAUGUUCGCUCUGAUUUCCAUUAAGAGUAUUGGCCACUCUGUCGCUAACCUCGUUUGCAAGAAGGUUUAUUCUGACAUGACCAGAAGUGUUCUGUUAUACAGACGAGAAAUGAAGAAGCAUGUGAAAUGAUCAUUCCUAUUGUUCAUAGGAAUGACUCUUGCUACUAAACUGGCUAUGGCUGCCAGGACGUGCUCCAUUUUUAGUACUGGACCACUGAAUUUGAAGUAUCCAGAUUAUUUGCAACAUAUCUACCGUGAGGUUUUUCUUCACAGGAGCUAAGCACUCGUCUGGAGCCAUUAGAAGCUUUGCAUCUGAAAAAGCUGUUUGCCAGAUUUUGACAAGGACACAAUAACAUCAAGUCUCCAUAUUCCUUUUCAGUUCAAGGUCCUAAAUCUUGGUGGGGACAUUUUCGAGGAUAGAUUUACCAAAAAAAGAAAAUGUUGUAAAUUGCAAGAAUUAUGAAAUUCCACUUAAAAAAGGUGAUUUUGACCACAUUUCAGAAAGAUUAUGAUAACAUCAAGCCUUAGUCCUUGGUUUGAUUUUCAAGUACACCAUACUUGUGUGCCGAAACUACCAUCUCUGAAGUGAGUCAAAAUAAAUGUCGGCUUCUGAAAUUGGAAAAGACUGUAUAUGUUAAUAUUGUUUACAUGAAUUCUAGACAUAAAUACUGGCUGAUUAUUAC